CUACGGGCUGCUGCAGUGAGGAAUAUUGCACAAUGGGGGGAACCCUGAUGCAGCAACGCCGCGUGGAGGAUGACGCAUUUCGGUGUGUAAACUCCUUUUAUAUGUCAAGAAAAUGACGGUAGCAUAUGAAUAAGCACCGGCUAACUCCGUGCCAGCAGCCGCGGUAAUACGGAGGGUGCAAGCGUUACUCGGAAUCACUGGGCGUAAAGGACGCGUAGGCGGGUUGGAAAGUCAGGUGUGAAAUCUUACAGCUUAACUGUAGAACUGCACUUGAAACUUCUAAUCUAGAGUAUGGGAGGGGGAGAUGGAAUUAGUGGUGUAGGGGUAAAAUCCGUAGAUAUCACUAGGAAUACCUAAAGCGAAGGCGAUCUCCUGGAACAUUACUGACGCUAAGGCGUGAAAGCGCGGGGAGCAAACAGGAUUAGAUACCCGGGUAGUC
This 439-nucleotide ribosomal RNA is filed under the name uncultured bacterium. Its description in RNAcentral is "partial 16S ribosomal RNA". It matches the Rfam family "Bacterial small subunit ribosomal RNA", at positions 339 to 795 of the family's 1533-position model. The record is from RNAcentral.